AACCCCAUGUUAGUCCGUAGUAUAGUAGCCUACCAUAGAAUGUCACCAUCAUCCAUCCAACAUACGAUGCUUCCAUCACCCACCACCAGAGGGAUAGGCAGAGUCUAUUGGUAACCAAAAACGGAUAAUGAAACGAAUUAUCAAGAUGGACGGUCUAACGGGCACGAUGAUUUCACGGAGUCGACACGAAUGGUCUGGGUCACUGACCAGGACUUAAAGGACAGUGACCCAGGUUUACUAAAAAUCACUUUUCUUGUAAUCCUCAACCAAAUACGGUCGUAAACUGGAAGCGUAAGCUAGUGAUAGUUAAUUAGAACACGAAAAGACGCAGAGGAGUUGAGUGAAGUGGAAUAGGACAGCAGAACCCCGCUGUUUUGGACAGAACUUCGGUUCUGGCGGUUCAGCAACCGACCCCCCCCCCCUUUACGUUGUGGGCAGUUCCGGCGAAAACGCCGUUGACCGAGUCCGUCACCAUACUCGGAGGCUCGGGGAAUGGACGAGGUCCAGAAAUGCCGUCAUCGUCAUCCCAAAAUGGAAGGAGUAGGAGAGAAGCCGACCAUCAUCGUAGACACAGCAAUGGAGAAGGUCGUGGUGAUGGAUGGUGGAAGAAGAGGGGCCCCGAAGAAGUUAGAAGAAAAGGACAGGUUAGAGUAGAUUAAGAAAGUGGGAAAGCUGUGAAAGUAAAGGCCGGAAAAGUCCGGAAUAAAUGUAGUUUGUGUCGAAA
Molecule: long non-coding RNA, 724 nt
Filed under: Aedes aegypti (yellow fever mosquito)
Lineage: Eukaryota; Metazoa; Arthropoda; Insecta; Diptera; Culicidae
Description: lncRNA AAEL022070
Source: RNAcentral